This is a long non-coding RNA of Talpa occidentalis (Iberian mole), 602 nucleotides long. RefSeq lists it as uncharacterized. The record is from RefSeq and is a predicted model, not a curated record. NCBI's taxonomy places the organism in Eukaryota, Metazoa, Chordata, Mammalia, Eulipotyphla, Talpidae. The transcript has 4 exons.
GUUCUGCUCAACCUGGAAAGAGCAUCUGGAACCAAUUCAUUGUGGUCACUUGAGCACAAGUGGAGUGAAAAAAAGCAAAGCAAUAACAAAAAAAAUACCUUUUACCUCGACCAUCAACCAACAUCAUCAUUUCAAGGAAGGACAUUUAGAUACCAAGUAUAUAAUCUCAGAAAAAAGAAGCUCCUUUCAGGGUUUCUUGAGAAGACAUCAGUGGCAGACCACACCCACUGGUUCUCAAAUCAUUCUCAAAGGAUUGCAGUUCAGACAAGGAAGUAACUUGUACAGCUUCCAGAUCUCCAAGCCCUUGGACUGGUGGCAUCAGCUGUGCCCUGGAUCUCAUUGGAGAAGAUUCAGUAACCCAAGACCCGUCUCUUUGCAAGAUCCCCAGGCUGGCCUGGUGGAUCCUCCUUCAUCUCCUCUUUACUUUUGCCUCUGGCCCCACAAAGGGCUCCCCUGUGUCCCUCUGAAGUGAACCCAGGAGUUAGCAUGCACCGCGUGCUGACGUAGAGCAGCUGCUGCCUGCAGCUACCUGUGAUUCUGCCUAUUUGACAGAUGAAGAAACUGAGGAACAGAAUGGUGACUGGAGAAGCAGGAGAAAUGGA